RNAcentral lists this ribosomal RNA (492 nucleotides) under uncultured bacterium. RNAcentral describes it as "partial 16S ribosomal RNA". It matches the Rfam family "Bacterial small subunit ribosomal RNA", at positions 29 to 507 of the family's 1533-position model. The record is from RNAcentral.
AGUGAACGCUGGCGGUAGGCCUAACACAUGCAAGUCGAACGGCAGCACAGUAAGAGCUUGCUCUUACGGGUGGCGAGUGGCGGACGGGUGAGGAAUACAUCGGAAUCUACUUUUUCGUGGGGGAUAACGUAGGGAAACUUACGCUAAUACCGCAUACGACCUACGGGUGAAAGCAGGGGAUCUUCGGACCUUGCGCGAUUGAAUGAGCCGAUGUCGGAUUAGCUAGUUGGCGGGGUAAAGGCCCACCAAGGCGACGAUCCGUAGCUGGUAUGAGAGGAUGAUCAGCCACAAUGGAACUGAGACACGGUCCAGACUCCUACGGGAGGCAGCAGUGGGGAAUAUUGGACAAUGGGCGCAAGCCUGAUCCAGCCAUACCGCGUGGGUGAAGAAGGCCUUCGGGUUGUAAAGCCCUUUUGUUGGGAAAGAAAAGCAGCAGGUUAAUACCCCGCUGUUCUGACGGUACCCAAAGAAUAAGCACCGGCUAACUUCGUG